UCGGGAAUUUUGUGCAAUGGGCGAAAGCCUGACACAGCAACGCCGCGUGAAGGAUGAAGUCCCUCGGGAUGUAAACUUCGUAAGAAUAGGAAGAAUAAAUGACGGUACUAUUUGUAAGGUCCGGCUAACUACGUGCCAGCAGCCGCGGUAAUACGUAGGGACCAAGCGUUGUUCGGAUUUGCUGGGCGUAAAGGGUGCGUAGGCGGCAUAUCAAGUCACUUGUGAAAUCUCCGGGCUUAACUCGGAACUGCCAAGUGAUACUGAUGUGCUAGAGUGCAGAAAGGGCAACUGGAAUUCUUGGUGUAGCGGUGAAAUGCGUAGAUAUCAAGAGGAACACCUGAGGCGAAGGCGAGUUGCUAGGCUGACACUGACGCUGAGGUACGAAAGCUAGGGGAGCGAACGGGAUUAGAUACCCUUGUAGUCCCUGAGCGGGCUGGCAAGGCGCAU
Molecule: ribosomal RNA, 447 nt
Filed under: uncultured bacterium
Lineage: Bacteria
Description: bacterial SSU rRNA
Rfam family: Bacterial small subunit ribosomal RNA
Source: RNAcentral